Oryctolagus cuniculus (rabbit) is the source of this 1667-nucleotide long non-coding RNA. The record is from Ensembl. NCBI's taxonomy places the organism in Eukaryota, Metazoa, Chordata, Mammalia, Lagomorpha, Leporidae.
CCCAGGGCAGGCGUCCCUCAGAGGGGCUGGGCAGGGGCAGGCACGGCCCUGGACGCUCAGAGGCGCAUGGUUACGGCCUUGGGAAGCCGCCACGCCCCAUAAAACGCCAGGCGGCCCAGCUGUCCGCAGCCGGCUCAAGCCGCCUGGCAGGCUCGGCCGGAGGACUCAUAAACAGGCCGAGAUGGAAGAGCAUGGUUAACGAGGCGUCUGCCCGCCAGCCCUCGCCCAACCCCCACCCCAGACCCCAUCUGCCUCCCAGAGGGGCAGGCAGGUGGGCCAGGGACCCAGCCGGGGCGGGGGAGGGGGAAAGCGAGGGAUGGACCCCAGAACACAGGGGCCAGGAAGCCUGAGUCCUAGCUCCCCUGGAAGGCUGCCCCCCGCCCCGGGGGAUCUUCACUGCAGCCCAGGUGGCACUGCCUGCCUGGCAGCCGGGAGCCAGCAGGUGCGCAAGGACUGCGAGCGAGGGAGCGUGCGUCUGGGCCAUCCACGCAAGGCGGACCAACCCCGGCGCUGGCUGCAGACACCUCAGGCUAGGGGAAGAAAUGGCCAACGGCCUCGGAGGCGAGAUGGACUGUUCCAGGUCGGGACGCUCCCACCGAGCUGCCUUGCUUGGCUCACCCACCGGCCAGACCCAAGAACUGGGGCCAGCUGCCCCCCAAGCCCAUAGCAGGCAAGUUCAAAGUCUCUGGCAGGAGUUUCCCUUCAAAUAACCCUCGAAUAAGCAGUGGCCCACUCAACUCCGCUGCUCUCCACUCUGACAAUGGAUCGAUUUUGUAAAACUGUAGGGUUAAACUUUGGUUUGGUCUGAAUUGGAUGCGUGCCUGGGCACAGUGGGCUGUAAGACCUAUGUGUGUCAGAGAAUGGAGCCUCAGAUCAGAGAUGCAGGGGUGUGGGGUGGGGGGAUUCAAGCAGGUGGCAAAGGAGCCUCCUGGCUCUGCACCUGCCCCACGUGAUGCCAUUUGCACGCCCUUCCAGAUGUACCCAGACCAUUGCAGCAGGACCACAGGCAACCCCUCUGCCGAGAGGAGCAUUCACGGACAUUUUCCCCGUGAUGAGGCCUUCACCCGAUGCUCGGCAAAGCUGUUGGUGCUGCCCGGCCUCAGCUAGAUCAGCAGGGAGAUGCUGGCUCCCCGGCUCCCCGUGCUGGAGAGCAGGUGUCUGCACACCCAAUGAGGAGGUGGCGAUGUGUAUCUGUGUCACUCCCAGUGCCACCACCCAACCCGUAGAGCUUCCGUCUUUGGAGAAAAAAAAGGGGGGGGGGGGACUUAAUGGAAAGAGAUCCUUUUAUUAAAACACCAUAAGUACAACUGCAUUCAUUCAACCUUGGAAAUGUUGUGAUGGCUUUUCAGCUCGGCAAUAUAUUUAGAAGGGAAUAUGUCAUUAAUAUAAACAGCAGAAAAGAAACUAUUAAACUAACACAAUUUAAAACUGAGCAAACCCGAGUGUUUGAUUAAAGUUUUUAUACAUUCUGUACACUUGAGCAGGUAACAUAGAACCUUAAUAUUUUUGUUGAUUUUUAAUUUGCUCAAGGUAUGACAUCCGAAACGUUAAAAUUUCGCUACUUUGUAUUUGAAACUAAGCGGCAGGGCCACAAGGAGGAUUUUCGGGCCGAUUUUCUCAGCUGUCUUUAGGUUUUCUGGAGGAGUCUCCGGCAGUACAGUAACUCA